GAUCAUGGCUCAGGAUGAACGCUAGCUACAGGCUUAACACAUGCAAGUCGAGGGGCAGCAUGGUCUUAGCUUGCUAAGGCUGAUGGCGACCGGCGCACGGGGUGAGUAACACGUAUCCAACCGUGCCGUCUACUCUUGGCCAGCCUUCUGAAAAGGAAGAUUAAUCCAGGAUGGCAUCAUGAGUUCACAUGUCCGCACGAUUAAAGGUAUUUUCCGGUAGACGAUGGGG
This 229-nucleotide ribosomal RNA is filed under the name uncultured bacterium. RNAcentral's name for it is "partial 16S ribosomal RNA". It matches the Rfam family "Bacterial small subunit ribosomal RNA", at positions 15 to 230 of the family's 1533-position model. The record is from RNAcentral.